This 472-nucleotide ribosomal RNA is filed under the name uncultured organism. RNAcentral's name for it is "partial 16S ribosomal RNA". It matches the Rfam family "Bacterial small subunit ribosomal RNA", at positions 334 to 797 of the family's 1533-position model. The record is from RNAcentral.
CACUCCUACGGGAGGCAGCAGUGGGGAAUUUUGGACAAUGGGCGAAAGCCUGAUCCAGCAAUGCCGCGUGUGUGAAGAAGGCCUUCGGGUUGUAAAGCACUUUUGUCCGGAAAGAAAUCCUUUGCUCUAAUACAGUCGGGGGAUGACGGUACCGGAAGAAUAAGCACCGGCUAACUACGUGCCAGCAGCCGCGGUAAUACGUAGGGUGCGAGCGUUAAUCGGAAUUACUGGGCGUAAAGCGUGCGCAGGCGGUUUGCUAAGACCGAUGUGAAAUCCCCGGGCUCAACCUGGGAACUGCAUUGGUGACUGGCUGGCUAGAGUAUGGCAGAGGGGGGUAGAAUUCCACGUGUAGCAGUGAAAUGCGUAGAGAUGUGGAGGAAUACCGAUGGCGAAGGCAGCCCCCUGGGCCAAUACUGACGCUCAUGCACGAAAGCGUGGGGAGCAAACAGGAUUAGAAACCCCUGUAGUCCCA